GACGAACGCUGGCGGUGUGCUUAACACAUGCAAGUGGAGCGACGAACCAGGGCUUGCCCUGGGGCAGUGCUGCGAACGGGUGAGUAACACGUGGGUAACGUACCCCGCUUACCGGGACAACUCGAGGAAACUCGGGGUAGUACCGGACGUGCUCUCCUUCCAUCAGGGUGGCGCGUAAAGGAAGCUCCGGCUUCCGAAUACGGAGCGGCCCGUGCUCUAUUCGUUAGUUGGUGGGGUAACGGCCUACCAAGACUGCGAUCGGUAGCUGGUCUGAGAGGACGAUCAGCCACACUGGAACUGAGACACGGCCCAGACUCCUACGGGAGGCAGCAGUGGGGAAUCUUGCGCAAUGCGCGACAGCGUGACGCAGCAACACCGCGUGGGGGAAGAAGGCCUUCGGGUUGUAAACCCCUUUCAGGAGGGACGAAGGCCGGCCGGUGAAUAGCCGUGCCGGUUGACGGUACCUCCACAAGAAGCCCCGGCUAACUACGUG
RNAcentral lists this ribosomal RNA (493 nucleotides) under uncultured bacterium. Its description in RNAcentral is "partial 16S ribosomal RNA". It matches the Rfam family "Bacterial small subunit ribosomal RNA", at positions 28 to 507 of the family's 1533-position model. The record is from RNAcentral.